This 253-nucleotide ribosomal RNA is filed under the name uncultured bacterium. RNAcentral's name for it is "partial 16S ribosomal RNA". It matches the Rfam family "Bacterial small subunit ribosomal RNA", at positions 524 to 776 of the family's 1533-position model. The record is from RNAcentral.
UACGUAGGUGGCAAGCGUUGUUCGGAUUUACUGGGCGUAAAGGGCGCGUAGGCGGCGUGACAAGUCACUUGUGAAAUCUCUGAGCUUAACUCAGAACGGCCAAGUGAAACUGUUGUGCUAGAGUGCAGAAGGGGCAAUCGGAAUUCUUGGUGUAGCGGUGAAAUGCGUAGAUAUCAAGAGGAACACCUGAGGUGAAGACGGGUUGCUGGGCUGACACUGACGCUGAGGCGCGAAAGCCAGGGGAGCAAACGGG